This 255-nucleotide ribosomal RNA is filed under the name uncultured bacterium. RNAcentral's name for it is "partial 16S ribosomal RNA". It matches the Rfam family "Bacterial small subunit ribosomal RNA", at positions 335 to 586 of the family's 1533-position model. The record is from RNAcentral.
CUACCUACGGGAGGCAGCAGUGAGGAAUAUUGGUCAAUGGGCGGGAUCCUGAACCAGCCAAGCCGCGUGAGGGAAGACGGUCCUAUGGAUUGUAAACCUCUUUAGGCGGGGAGCAAUGCCGGGCACGCUUGUCCGGUGGGAGAGUACCCGCAGAAUAAGCAUCGGCUAACUCCGUGCCAGCAGCCGCGGUAAUACGGAGGAUGCGAGCGUUAUCCGGAUUUAUUGGGUUUAAAGGGGGCGUAGGCGGAUUUUUAA